This 497-nucleotide ribosomal RNA is filed under the name uncultured bacterium. RNAcentral's name for it is "partial 16S ribosomal RNA". It matches the Rfam family "Bacterial small subunit ribosomal RNA", at positions 28 to 507 of the family's 1533-position model. The record is from RNAcentral.
GAUGAACGCUGGCGGCGUGCCUAAUACAUGCAAGUCGAGCGAACAGACGAGGCGCUUGCUCCUCUGACGUUAGCGGCGGACGGGUGAGUAACACGUGGAUCACCUCCCUAUAAGACUGGUAUAACUUCGAGAAACCGGAGCUAAUACCGGAUAAUAUCUUGCACCGCAUUGUUCAAUAGUGAAAGACGGUUUUGCUGUCACUUAUAGAUGGAUCCGGGCCGCAUUAGCUAGUUGGUAAGGUAACGGCCUACCAAGGCAACUAGGCGUUGCCGAAGUGAGAGGGGGAUCGGCCACACUAGAAGUGGGACAGGGUCAAGAGGACUAAGAGACGCAGCAGUAGGGAACGUUAGGCAACGGGCGAAAGUCUGACGGAGCAACCGCGCGUGAGUGACGAAGGCGUUGGGUGCGGAAAACCGUGUUAUUAGUGAAAAACCAAUUUGGAAGGAAAUAUGGAGGGAGUGACGGUACCUAAUCAGAAAGCCACGGCUAACUACGUG